Molecule: small nuclear RNA, 108 nt
Organism: Panthera pardus (leopard)
Lineage: Eukaryota; Metazoa; Chordata; Mammalia; Carnivora; Felidae
Source: Ensembl
GUGUUUGUUUUAGCAGUAUAUACACUAAAAGUUGGAACAAUACAGAGAAGAGUACCGUUGGCCUUAUGCAUGAAUGACUCACAAAUUUAUGAAGUGUUCCAUAUUUUC